This 354-nucleotide unclassified non-coding RNA is filed under the name soil metagenome. Its description in RNAcentral is "partial contains 5.8S ribosomal RNA, internal transcribed spacer 2, and large subunit ribosomal RNA". The stretch from base 1 to 120 matches the Rfam family "5.8S ribosomal RNA", at positions 35 to 154 of the family's 154-position model. The record is from RNAcentral.
GAUGAAGAACGUAGCGAAACGCGAUAUGUAAUGUGAAUUGCAGAAUUCAGUGAAUCAUCGAAUCUUUGAACGCACAUGGCGCCUUCCAGUAUCCUGGGAGGCAUGCCUGUCCGAGCGUCGUUUCAACCCUCGAGCCCCCGUGGCCCGGCGUUGGGGAUCUGCCCAGGCAGUCCCCGAAAACCAGUGGCGGACCCGUUACAGGCCCUUCCCUUGCGUAGUAGCAUUCGCCUCGCAUCGGGAGCCGGCGGGCUUCCAGCCUCUAAACCCCCAUCAAGUCCGCCCCGGGGGGACCAAGGUUGACCUCGGAUCAGGUAGGAAUACCCGCUGAACUUAAGCAUAUCAAUAAGCGGAGGA